CCUACGGGAGGCAGCAGUGGGGAAUAUUGCACACUGGGGGAAACCCUGAUGCAGCGACGCCGCGUGAGUGAAGCAGUAUUUCGGUAUGUAAAGCUCUAUCAGCAGGGAAGAAAUAGCGACCUUUGGGUCGCCAGACGGUACCUGAUUAAGAAGCCCCGGCUAACUACGUGCCAGCAGCCGCGGUAAUACGUAGGGGGCAAGCGUUAUCCGGAUUGACUGGGUGUAAAGGGAGCGUAGACGGCAGCGCAAGUCUGAAGUGAAAUGCCGGGGCUUAACCCCGGAACUGCUUUUGAAACUGGGCAGCUAGAGUGCAGGAGAGGUAAGUGGAAUUCCUAGUGUAGCGGUGAAAUGCGUAGAUAUUAGGAGGAACACCAGUGGCGAAGGCGGCUUACUGGACUGUAACUGACGUUGAGGCUCGAAAGCGUGGGGAGCAAACAGGAUUAGAUACCCUUGUAGUC
This 458-nucleotide ribosomal RNA is filed under the name uncultured bacterium. Its description in RNAcentral is "partial 16S ribosomal RNA". It matches the Rfam family "Bacterial small subunit ribosomal RNA", at positions 338 to 795 of the family's 1533-position model. The record is from RNAcentral.